GGUGUAGGCGGAGUGGAAGGUGUCCUGUGAAAGCCCUCGGCUCAACCGAGGAAAUGCAGGGCAAACCGCCAUUCUUGAGGCAGGUAGAGGCAAGUGGAACUAUGGGUGGAGCGGUGAAAUGCGUAGAUAUCCAUGGGAACGCCAGUGGCGAAAGCGGCUUGCUGGGCCUGUCCUGACGCUGAGACCCGAAAGCGUGGGUAGCAAACAGGAUUAGAUACCCUGGUAGUCC
Molecule: ribosomal RNA, 229 nt
Filed under: uncultured bacterium
Lineage: Bacteria
Description: partial 16S ribosomal RNA
Rfam family: Bacterial small subunit ribosomal RNA
Source: RNAcentral